Molecule: ribosomal RNA, 865 nt
Filed under: Babina adenopleura (olive frog)
Lineage: Eukaryota; Metazoa; Chordata; Amphibia; Anura; Ranidae
Description: partial 16S ribosomal RNA
Rfam family: Bacterial large subunit ribosomal RNA (bases 165-865)
Source: RNAcentral
GCCUAAAAUCUAGCCCUUACAUUCACAUGAUGCCGUCAACCUAUUGACCUAAAUAAAACAUUUUUUUAUUCUAGUACAGGCGACAGAAAAACUUCUAAGCGCUUCAGAUAAAGUACCGCAAGGGAAUAAUGAAAUAGAAAUGAAAUAACCUUAAAGCCCUAAAUAGCAAAGAUAUCACCUUGUACCUUUUGCAUCAUGGUCUAGCUAGUCUACCCAAGCAAAAUGAAACUUUCAGUUUGACACCCCGAAACUAAGCGAGCUACUUCAAAACAGCCCUAAGAGCUAAUCCGUCUCUGUUGCAAAAGAGUGGAAAGAUUUUCAAGUAGAAGUGAUAAGCCUACCGAGCUUAGAGAUAGCUGGUUGUUCAGGAAAAGAGUUUUAGCUCUACCUUAAGCUUCUCAAUUACACCAAAAACCCUCCUAAACUUAAGAGCCAUUCAAAUAAGGCACAGCUUAUUUGAAAUAGGGCACAACCUCUAACACCGGGUAAAUAAGGGUAACUUAAACAAAGUAGGCCUAAGAGCAGCCACCUUUAAAAAAGCGUUAAAGCUUACUUAUAAUCACCCACAAUUUCCUAAAUCCUCAUUAACCCUUCACCACUACUGAACUAUUUUAUAUCUUUAUAAAAGCUAUAAUGCUAGAACUAGUAACAAGAAAUAGCCUUUCUCCAAAAUGUAAGCUUACACCAAAAUGGACAAUCCAUUGGUAAUUAACGCAAAUGUUAUAGCCACAGCAACACACCUCUAGAAAACCCUGUGACCUCCUACGUUACCCUUACACUAGAACAUCUCAGGAAAGAUUAAAAGAGAAAGAAGGAACUCGGCAAAUCCUCAGCCCCGCCUGUUUACCAAAAACAUCGCCUCUUG